CCGGGUGGGGGCUUUGGGCCCUAAGCGACCCCACUGGACCUCCCCAGUUCGAGGGAGCCGAUCAGCCGCUCCGCGCCCGCUCUCGCCGGCGCUCAGCACCACGGACAGUCGCCUCCCCGCCCACCCCGGAACUCCAGCUUCCACUCGCGCCCCUGCCUCGCUCGUUUGCGCCCAGGGAUGUGGAGCUGAGAAGCCCCGAUUUCCACUUUCUGACUCCUAGACUCAGCUGAUUUGAACCCCUCAGUGGAAUAGCAGCAGCCCAUCCGCAGCUUUCCUAGAAGUUCCUGACCUAGUAGCCUGAAAUGCAUUCUAAUCAAGUGAGACAAGGCUGUGGCUGGAAGACUCCCCGUGAGCCAGGGAAUUGAAGCUGCCUCUGCAAGCUGAAUUCGUAAUUGCCAUGAGAAGGCAACAGCAUCAAAUCCUCCAGCGUGCCAAUUCUUUAGGCGACGGACGAAUUGACAACUCCUCACCUUACAUAGGCACCAACUGACUGUUGGUCUUUGCCCAGCUCUGGGUUUGUACCUGCCCUUCUGCCCACAGCGAUGGUGUCAUUUUGACCUUGAUCUGGGAAUUGCUGUUCUUGUCAGCCUGUUGGCUCCCUCUGUUGAGGGAGACAGCUCUUUUGAGUGUCCAGGAGAUGGAAGUACAAAGGUGGACAAAUAUCUACACUCGGAAGGCAGACAAUAGUACCCCCCAAUUUCUGUUUGCACAUAGGUGAGAGCAAGAAAAAAAGGAGAAUACAUUGUAAAGAGUUUUAGUUCAGACACAAUAUGAAAGCACUUGAUUCUAAUGUUAUUUUUUUAAAAUUCAACUAAACACAUGUAGGACAAAUAUAGAACCAUAUCC
RNAcentral lists this long non-coding RNA (846 nucleotides) under Homo sapiens (human). RNAcentral describes it as "HSALNT0365508". The record is from RNAcentral. Lineage: Eukaryota; Metazoa; Chordata; Mammalia; Primates; Hominidae.